RNAcentral lists this ribosomal RNA (482 nucleotides) under uncultured bacterium. RNAcentral describes it as "partial 16S ribosomal RNA". It matches the Rfam family "Bacterial small subunit ribosomal RNA", at positions 30 to 507 of the family's 1533-position model. The record is from RNAcentral.
AUUGAACGCUGGCGGCAUGCUUUACACAUGCAAGUCGAACGGUAACAGGCCGCAAGGUGCUGACGAGUGGCGAACGGGUGAGUAAUGCAUCGGAACGUGCCCAGUCGUGGGGGAUAACUACUCGAAAGAGUAGCUAAUACCGCAUACGAUCUAUGGAUGAAAGCGGGGGACCGUAAGGCCUCGCGCGAUUGGAGCGGCCGCUGUCAGAUUAGGUAGUUGGUGGGGUUAAGGCUCACCAAGCCAACGAUCUGUAGCUGGUCUGAGAGGACGACCAGCCACACUGGGACUGAGACACGGCCCAGACUCCUACGGGAGGCAGCAGUGGGGAAUUUUGGACAAUGGGCGCAAGCCUGAUCCAGCAAUGCCGCGUGCAGGAAGAAGGCCUUCGGGUUGUAAACUGCUUUUGUACGGAACGAAACGGCUCUGGUUAAUACCCGGGGCUAAUGACGGUACCGUAAGAAUAAGCACCGGCUAACUACGUG